ACUCAAAUGAAUUGACGGGGGCCCGCACAAGCAGCGGAGCAUGUGGCUUAAUUCGACGCAACGCGAAGAACCUUACCAAGGCUUGACAUACGCCGGAAAACCCUGGAGACAGGGUCCCCCUUGUGGUCGGUGUACAGGUGGUGCAUGGCUGUCGUCAGCUCGUGUCGUGAGAUGUUGGGUUAAGUCCCGCAACGAGCGCAACCCUUGUUCUGUGUUGCCAGCACGCCCUUCGGGGUGGUGGGGACUCACAGGAGACUGCCGGGGUCAACUCGGAGGAAGGUGGGGACGACGUCAAGUCAUCAUGCCCCUUAUGUCUUGGGCUGCACACGUGCUACAAUGGCAGGUACAAAGAGCUGCGAUACCGUGAGGUUGAGCGAAUCUCAAAAAGCCUGUCUCAGUUCGGAUUGGGGUCUGCAACUCGACCCCAUGAAGUCGGAGUUGCUAGUAAUCGCAGAUCAGCAUUGCUGCGGUGAAUACGUUCCCGGGCCUUGCACACACCGCCCGU
This 505-nucleotide ribosomal RNA is filed under the name uncultured bacterium. RNAcentral's name for it is "partial 16S ribosomal RNA". It matches the Rfam family "Bacterial small subunit ribosomal RNA", at positions 899 to 1397 of the family's 1533-position model. The record is from RNAcentral.